RNAcentral lists this unclassified non-coding RNA (206 nucleotides) under soil metagenome. RNAcentral's name for it is "partial contains 5.8S ribosomal RNA, internal transcribed spacer 2, and large subunit ribosomal RNA". The record is from RNAcentral.
AACGCACGAGACCUGCGGACCUGCGGAAGGAUCAUUAUCGAGUGCGCCCCCAUAAAAAGGGGGUACCUCCCGUCCUUUGCUGGCCUUAUCGGGGCUUUUUAUUUUCUGCUUCGGCGGGGUUACCCGCCGGAACACCCUUAUAACUCUUUGACAAACCGUUCCGUCCGAGGACUUUGCGAAUAAAAAACUUUUAACAAUGGAUCUCU